UACGUAGGUCCCGAGCGUUGUCCGGAUUUAUUGGGCGUAAAGCGAGCGCAGGUGGUUUAUUAAGUCUGGUGUAAAAGGCAGUGGCUCAACCAUUGUAUGCAUUGGAAACUGGUAGACUUGAGUGCAGUAGAGGUAGGCGGAAUUCGUGGUGUAGCGGUGAAAUGCUUAGAUAUCACGAAGAACUCCGAUUGCGAAGGCAGCCUGCUGGACUGUAACUGACGCUGAUGCUCGAAAGUGUGGGUAUCAAACAGG
Molecule: ribosomal RNA, 252 nt
Filed under: uncultured bacterium
Lineage: Bacteria
Description: partial 16S ribosomal RNA
Rfam family: Bacterial small subunit ribosomal RNA
Source: RNAcentral